This 274-nucleotide ribosomal RNA is filed under the name uncultured bacterium. RNAcentral describes it as "partial 16S ribosomal RNA". It matches the Rfam family "Bacterial small subunit ribosomal RNA", at positions 523 to 796 of the family's 1533-position model. The record is from RNAcentral.
AUACGGAGGGUGCGAGCGUUAAUCGGAAUUACUGGGCGUAAAGCGCGCGUAGGCGGUUGGGUAAGUCGGAUGUGAAAGCCCCGGGCUUAACCUGGGAAUUGCAUUCGAUACUGCCCGGCUAGAGUAUGGUAGAGGGAAGCGGAAUUCCGGGUGUAGCGGUGAAAUGCGUAGAUAUCCGGAGGAACACCAGUGGCGAAGGCGGCUUCCUGGACCAAUACUGACGCUGAGGUGCGAAAGCGUGGGGAGCAAACAGAAUUAGAAACCCUAGUAGUCC